Long non-coding RNA from Hibiscus syriacus, 815 nucleotides. RefSeq lists it as uncharacterized. The transcript is spliced from 2 exons. The record is from RefSeq and is a predicted model, not a curated record. NCBI's taxonomy places the organism in Eukaryota, Viridiplantae, Streptophyta, Magnoliopsida, Malvales, Malvaceae.
UCUUUGGCCUUUGCUUAUAUAUCAUUGUUAUUGACCUCAAUUUUGAUGGUCGAUCCUCUCUGUUUCUGCAAAUCUCUUGUAAUUCUUACCGGCAUGUGUGUGUUUUCUGCUUUUUAUGUAGAUUAGGCUACCCCAAUGCCAGAGUUGUUUGUAGUUCGCUUGAAGUGCAUCUUUAUUUAAACAAGUUGGGUUGUUGCUGCUGCAAUUUGCUGUGGUUUGAAAGAACAGCUCAUUGCAUAGCCUCGGCUAAUAUCGUAGCCUGUCACUGAGCUCCAAUUCCCUUGGUUGAAGACUAAACGAUUGCCUGAACAUGCUCGCAUCUCGGAUUCUAAUUUAACUGCAUCAUUCUAUUUCAACAGGGGGAAUUUUACUUCUUACCAUAUUGUGGGCUGGAAUCCAGCCGAAUUAGAAAGACUUUGGGGGAUUUCCUGAAAGUGGGAUUAUUCUGCAAAACCCAUACUAAUGAAUAUGAGAGCUGCCGGGAAAGUUCCGGUGUCGGCUGUAGAGAGAAAAAACGGUGAAUAUGAUCGCUCACGACGAGGAUUUGCCUGUAAUUUUGGCUUGGAAUCACUGCUUCUGCUUAUAUGUCUAACGGCAUCCUUGCUCAUCCUCCCAUUGGUGCUUCCGCCGUUGCCUCCCCCACCUUUCAUCCUCUUACUGCUUCCCAUUGCCAUUUUAACCGUCCUCCUCUUGUUGGCUUUCAUGCCAUCUAACUUAAGGGAUUUAACAUUGUAAAUGCCAUCCCUUACAUCAUACAAAAUUUUGUUAUACCUGCAAUAAUAUUUAGAAAUUUGAAUGAACACUGGUUUGUUGCA